UAAAUAAUCAAUUAAAAUAAUUAGGGUAUUUUUGUCAUUUGUUAAUUUUGACUGAAUCAUGUCCAUCCAAAUGAUCCAAUUAAGUUCAGCCAAAUGAGUUUCAAAAUUUAGCAUAAAUUUUCAAACUCAUCCAAAUAAUUCAUUUGGAUGUAUCAUCUGAAUGAACCGUUUUUUGUACUAAACGAACAUCAAAACUCAUCUCCAUCCAAAUGAUCCAUCUGACUGAUGAACGAGCCUAAAUUCAUUGUCAAAUUUGA
RNAcentral lists this small RNA (257 nucleotides) under Arabidopsis thaliana (thale cress). Its description in RNAcentral is "ATSL255050". Lineage: Eukaryota; Viridiplantae; Streptophyta; Magnoliopsida; Brassicales; Brassicaceae. The record is from RNAcentral.